CCUACGGGAGGCAGCAGUAGGGAAUAUUGCGCAAUGGGGGAAACCCUGAAGCAGCAACGCCGCGUGGAGGAUGAAGGUUUUCGGAUUGUAAACUCCUUUUGUUAGAGAAGAAAAUGACGGUAUCUAACGAAUAAGCACCGGCGAACACCGUGCCAGCAGCCGCGGUAAUACGGAGGGUGCAAGCGUUAUUCGGAAUCACUGGGCGUAAGGAGCGCGUAGGCGGGAUAGCAAGUCAGAUGUGAAAUCCUAUGGCUUAACCAUAGAACUGCAUUUGAAACUGUUAUUCUAGAGUAUGGGAGAGGUAGGUGGAAUUCUUGGUGUAGGGGUAAAAUCCGUAGAGAUCAAGAGGAAUACUCAUUGCGAAGGCGACCUGCUAGGACAUAACUGACGCUGAUGCGCGAAAGCGUGGGGAGCAAACAGGAUUAGAUACCCUAGUAGUC
RNAcentral lists this ribosomal RNA (440 nucleotides) under uncultured bacterium. RNAcentral's name for it is "partial 16S ribosomal RNA". It matches the Rfam family "Bacterial small subunit ribosomal RNA", at positions 338 to 795 of the family's 1533-position model. The record is from RNAcentral.